AGGGACUCGAGAGGGUCAAGUCAGAGAAGGAGGUUGAGAAUAAGCAGCAGCAGCUGAUUAAAGCACCUCCCCUGUGCCCACUGGGCCAUGUAGUGUCCAACUGCCAGGUCUGUGCAGUGGUGGGAAACUCAAGGUCUCUACGGAGCUCUGGCCUUGGCUUCAGGAUUAAUCAACGUGAAGUGGUCCUCAGGUGGGUGCAGGGUAGGAGGUGGAGACCAAGACCAAGCCGAAGCCUUUUCCUCCUCUAAAUGACCAUCCUAACUUCCUUUUCAGGAUGAACCAGGCCCCUGUCCGAGGCUUUGAGGCAGAUGUGGGGAACAGGACCACCAUGCGCAUUAUGUACCCUGGGAUUGCCAGCCCUCAGGACCCCGGUACCCAACUGCUGCUGCUUCCGUUGAAUUCAUCUGGUCUGGAGUGGUUCAUAAGUGUACUGCAUAAACAGACAAGCAUGUGGAAGCAAAAAAAACCCUGGAUUUCAGACAGUUCAGGUUCCUGGUGGAACUGAAGACAGCAAAGAUAAGGUGCUGGUGAUCAGCCUCUACUUCCUCAGGUAUAUCCAGGAAAGUUGGCUGGAGAACCAUGGUCAGUAUCCGUCCUUGGAGUUUGUGGCUCUGUUGUAUGCCUUGCAUACCUGUGACCAGGUAAGAUAUCUCCUGCAACUCACAGACUUUC
RNAcentral lists this long non-coding RNA (672 nucleotides) under Pan troglodytes (chimpanzee). RNAcentral's name for it is "long non-coding RNA NONPTRT009211". The record is from RNAcentral. Lineage: Eukaryota; Metazoa; Chordata; Mammalia; Primates; Hominidae.